Molecule: ribosomal RNA, 83 nt
Filed under: Providencia rettgeri
Lineage: Bacteria; Pseudomonadati; Pseudomonadota; Gammaproteobacteria; Enterobacterales; Morganellaceae
Source: RNAcentral
CCUAGUGGCAAUAGCGCGGUGGUCCCACCUGACCCCAUGCCGAACUCAGUAGUGAAACGCCGUAGCGCCGAUGGUAGUGUGGG